UACGUAGGGUGCAAGCGUUGUCCGGAAUUAUUGGGCGUAAAGAGCUCGUAGGCGGUCUGUCGCGUCGGCUGUGAAAACCCGGGGCUCAACCCCGGGCCUGCAGUCGAUACGGGCAGACUAGAGUGCGGUAGGGGAGACUGGAAUUCCUGGUGUAGCGGUGAAAUGCGCAGAUAUCAGGAGGAACACCGGUGGCGAAGGCGGGUCUCUGGGCCGUAGCUGACGCUGAGGAGCGAAAGCGUGGGGAGCGAACAGG
Molecule: ribosomal RNA, 253 nt
Filed under: uncultured bacterium
Lineage: Bacteria
Description: partial 16S ribosomal RNA
Rfam family: Bacterial small subunit ribosomal RNA
Source: RNAcentral